UACGUAGGUGGCAAGCGUUAUCCGGAAUUAUUGGGCGUAAAGCGCGCGCAGGCGGUUUCUUAAGUCUGAUGUGAAAGCCCACGGCUCAACCGUGGAGGGUCAUUGGAAACUGGGGAACUUGAGUGCAGAAGAGAAAAGCGGAAUUCCCAGUGUAGCGGUGAAAUGCGUAGAUAUUGGGAGGAACACCAGUGGCGAAGGCGGCUCACUGGACCGGUUCUGACGCCGAGGCGCGAAAGCGUGGGGAGCAAACGGG
RNAcentral lists this ribosomal RNA (253 nucleotides) under uncultured bacterium. Its description in RNAcentral is "partial 16S ribosomal RNA". It matches the Rfam family "Bacterial small subunit ribosomal RNA", at positions 524 to 776 of the family's 1533-position model. The record is from RNAcentral.